AGUGGCCAAAUGGUUAGUGGGUCCUGGGGCACCCUUCUGGAAGCUGAUCAUCAUUCUAUCUGAGCAAUGUGACUAGUUUUGAUUUUUUUGGUACUUUAGGUCGUGGUAUUGACUCUCUCCAAACCUGAAGUUCUUCCAUUCUUCAAAAAGCAUAUUGUUACUGUUUGUAGAUGUUUUUAAACAUUUUCUUUUAGUUAUAUUUAAUCAGUUUUAAGUACCUUAAUUUAUUCAUGUUUUGUUUAUAGUUGUGCUAUCUACACAAACAUGUUUUGCACAUGCUUCAUGGGAAAAUGAUAGUUUCCAUCCUUAUAAUUGUAACAACUUCUCUAUGAUUUGGUGAGCAAAGCCCAAAACGACUGGUGGGGUCUCUGGAGAAUAUUUUGUUGGACCAAAAUAAGAGCAAAGAUAAUUGACAAGGAAGUGGAUCGUUUCUCAUCAGGGGCACACUUGCAUUAAUCUGACCUGGAAAGGGAGAAGAUUUAAGAACAGAGGAUUUCAGAUUUGACUAAGGUGGGACUAUGAUGCAUAGCACCAUGCGAUAUUUACCUCAAUGAGUUUGAGAGGGAAUGAUUUUAUGUCAAAUCAGCCUAAAUUUCCAAGCCUAAAUUUCCAGCUGAUAAGUUGGCUUGCUCUAUUUGUUUUUAGUUUUCAACCUGGUAGAGUGAUAUUUCAAUCUUAAGUUGAUUAGAUUUGCAUUAGCUCUGGUGACAGAGUGGGAAAGAUGCAAGGAGGGGCCAUGCUCCAUGAACUUGCAAGCUUUUUGAACAUGAAGAUAGGUUUUUAUCUGUGAUACAAAAGCUUGUCAAAUCCAACUAAUAUGAUUGGUAGAUUCAUUGAUUCAUGUUUAUACAUGUUCACACUAACCCUUUUCACCAAAUUCACUGUAUGAAGAGAUUUUUAUAUUCAGCGGCGCGACAAUUAGGAGCCGAUGAAAACCUUCUUCCUUCUGGUA
This is a long non-coding RNA of Cucumis sativus (cucumber), 952 nucleotides long. RefSeq lists it as uncharacterized. The transcript is spliced from 2 exons. NCBI's taxonomy places the organism in Eukaryota, Viridiplantae, Streptophyta, Magnoliopsida, Cucurbitales, Cucurbitaceae. The record is from RefSeq and is a predicted model, not a curated record.